UGUCAGUGUUAAAAGAUGCACUCAUCCCCAACUUUUGUGCACCAUAAAAAAAACGCUAUUGUAAGUAAAACAUGACUAUCAUAUUCAGUCAUUUAAAUGACAUGGAAUGGGUUUGUAAAUGCUUAUAAUAAUAUUUUCCUCCCAAUAGGCUCAUAUGCAAAUCUAAAACAUUACAGGCUAAUGAUGUAUAAGACACAUGCUUCACUUCAGUUGAUUGACAGUUGACUAUGUGGCAGUGGACAGGUUACAUCUUGUUUCCACUACUUGUCAAUGCAUAAACCUGGGAACACCUGGGAACUUCCAUCCUGAAGGGCUGAAAGACAUAUCUUCUACCUGGUAGGUAUUCAUCCUCACCAGGUGUCUCAGGUCUGAAUUAGAAGGACAGGGUGAAGACCAGAAGGGUUUGUCCCUCCAGGUUGGGACAUCCCAACUAUCGGCCAAUGCUGACAAAGCCUUUUAUGAUUCCACUCACUGAGUGGAUAACAGGGGCUCCCCCUUAAAACUUUCAAUGCCUAUUAGUUUGAUAGUCUGUAAUUUUUCAGCAUUGUCCAAUGGCCCUAGGUUUUUACCAGCUCUUGUGUGUGUUUUCCUGGUGUCUUUGAUUAAUGGGUCAUUUAAUGGGUCAUUUGACGGCUUGUCAUUUGACGGCGUGUGUGAGUUUGUUAAUCAUAUCCACAGGCUAAACAUUAUUCUGUCAUACAUCUGGAUUUCUCCAUUAUUGUAGAAAUAUGGCGUGAACCUAUCAUAUGUGUGUACUGCAAACACUAUUCAAUUGUAAGCUGACGUGUGUAGACAAAAUCAGGCCAGCCCUGAUGAUUAUUGUUUCUUGCCAGCUUUGCUGUUCUAAGAAGAUGAGAGAAAUUAGUCUUUUAAGAACCAAUGGUUUUGCGAAGCAUGUCGAUCUGGUUGGUGCACAUUCGGUAAGGGGUUAUGGUAAGGGUUAUGGUAAGGGUUAUGGUAAGGGGUUAUGGUAAGGGGUUAUGGUAAGGGUUAUGGUAAGGGUUAUGGUAAGGGGUUAUGGUAAGGGGUUAUGGUAAGGGGUUAUGGUUAGCCUAAGUUAACUAAUGUUAUUAUCUAAUGUUAUUAUUAUAUCAGUGUUCAGUCAGACUACCUUUUAAAGGUAACGCAUAACGUAACGCGUUAGUUUUAAAUAAUCCCUUACUAGUUACUUUUUAAAUAAAGUUACUU
Long non-coding RNA from Esox lucius (northern pike), 1188 nucleotides. The record is from Ensembl. Lineage: Eukaryota; Metazoa; Chordata; Actinopteri; Esociformes; Esocidae.